GCAUGUCUAUAUAGGCCUUAAGUUGAUUGGCGUGGGAUGGCCCAGCCAACUAUGGGUGGUACCAUUCCCUAGGCAGAGGUUUCCUGAACUACAUGAGCUGACUAAUUCUGAGACUCAGAAAUGCUGCUGCCUGGGAUGGAAACCCUAAUCAUCCCUUGCUCAGGAGGACAAAGCAAGGGUAUUGACCCAUGAAGUCAGAGGCUACUGUUGGAUGGCCAAGUCCAAGUACUCAAGAGAUGUUACACAGCCCUCUUUUUACCUCA
This is a long non-coding RNA of Mastomys coucha (southern multimammate mouse), 263 nucleotides long. RefSeq lists it as uncharacterized. The transcript is spliced from 2 exons. The record is from RefSeq and is a predicted model, not a curated record. NCBI's taxonomy places the organism in Eukaryota, Metazoa, Chordata, Mammalia, Rodentia, Muridae.